Molecule: long non-coding RNA, 394 nt
Organism: Gymnodraco acuticeps
Lineage: Eukaryota; Metazoa; Chordata; Actinopteri; Perciformes; Bathydraconidae
Exons: 3
Source: RefSeq, a predicted model, not a curated record
AGAAAAUGGAUUCCCCAAGCAAGUUUCCAGGCUUAAAUGAUGAUGAGGAGGUGGAGGCCCUUCGGAGAGAGGGACAAUUGUUUAUUUAUUCAAUCCUGGAUGAAGCCCUGCCGCGCCGGGACCUCUACUCCUGCGGCGUCCGGGUCUUCUGGCGCUGCUUGGACUUCCUGGUGCGACAGGUGAGGCUGCGGCGUGUUUUCCAACAGAAGGCCGCCAGAGAAAAGGAGGUUAAUAAAGUCCUCAAUAGGAAGCUGGAGGAGGCCCUGCGGCUCAUUGAGGUGCUGCAGGCCACGGGGUCCUUUGAACAGGAUGAGCAAACACAGACGUCCACGCAGAUGGAGGAGAUGGAAUAGUUUUUUUUUUUUAAAUAGUUCAAUAUUGUUUGUUACUUGUU